Molecule: non-coding RNA, 802 nt
Organism: Lonchura striata (white-rumped munia)
Lineage: Eukaryota; Metazoa; Chordata; Aves; Passeriformes; Estrildidae
Source: RefSeq, a predicted model, not a curated record
AUGCUAAGACAUUACACUGGCAAGCGAGGGACGCGCUCCUGGCCUCGCAGCGCCACGGGCCCCUGGUGCCCCGAGGUCCCCCGCGGGAACCGGCGGCGGCAGGGGAGUGCCACUAACCUGACAGGGUGCGUGUACUGCGCCAGCUUUCGGGAGGCUUCCGCCAGCUCGCCGGGGCUGUGAGGCUGCGGAGGAGAGAGCAGAGUUCCAAUUUUAACUCCACCUGUUGGCACUUCAUCAGGAUGAGAAUGACCUGCCUUUUCUUCAGAGAUCAGCAGAGAAAAGAAGCUGAAUGUGUGCUGUCUGCAUCUAUUCCCUCAUUAACUGUGCUGGUAGUAUGAAAUCAUUCAUUAUUUUCCUUCCUUGCUGUAAACCUUGGGAGUGUAUUUUGAUAACCUUGACAGUCCUCUGUGCAGGUUUUGCUGUACCCUCAAUCAACUCAGUGCACAAAAUGAGGCAAGCAAAAUACAGAGUUUGCAGGAAUGAUUACUUGUGAGUUUAGAGACUUCUUGUCUUCCUGUUGGCCAGAACUUACGGAGAAGAUUCAAGAUGAGCAGUUCUUUGGAGGAUGAUCUUUAUGUUCUGUCCUAAUCCAUGGAGAUUUUGUGUAACAUUCUUCUUAGGCUUCACAUUUCCAUAAUGAAAAAUAAAAAUAGAUGCUAAGUACAUUCCUUGUUCCAGGUGCACAAAAAGCUGAGCGGGAAAUCUGCAGAUCAUUGUGGUCCAUCCAAUAUCCUAUGUGCUGUUUCUCAUAUAAUCUUUCUUUUCUGAUUAUUGUGUCUAAUAAAGAAAAUAUGUACAGUUA